GAAUCUUCCGAUCAAAGGAGGAGGACUGCGACAGGAGUGGAAUAUGUUUGGACACCCCUGGUCUACACUGUGACCGAUUAGUUGUGGAACAUUCAACACUUCUUACCGAACGAUGGAGUUAUGCAAUACUUUACAGGUUUGGCUCCCCCCUCUCAGGCUCCAGCACCUGUCUGGAUAACAAUACCUGUUCGAAUCCAUCAUCACACAACAUUUGAAAUCCCUCUUAAGCCCUGAAAUGUAGAUUUUGUGCGUUUCAUCCCAGUUUAUGUGCUCAGUUUCUUUGAAAAGUAGUUCUGCUCUGUUCGAGCAUACACCUUCGCAGCUUAACCUACAUUAAAACCAUUGAUCUGUGUCUCACCAGCACAACGCCAGCAUGUUAAGCAUUGCCUAAUCUGUCUCAUGCUACCUGGAUUUUCAUAUUGGAGUAAUAAUCCAGACGAAGGGAAAUAAGGGCCGAGUCACCUCAGGAUCUGUUUAAAAGCUUCUUAUCAGAGACCUGCACUCCCACCGUUAAAACUAAAAAGGCAAUGAUAGCCUUUCAAGCUCACAAGCUACGGAUUUAAUCAAAGCAGCUUGGGCUAAAAUGAAGCUCGGUGGCAUGUGUGAGUUCAGAAUCCUGUCCGAAAACAAUGCUGAUUCAGUCCACACCCAUGUCAGGUCACGUGUCUGGAAUUCCCCCCCCCCGAAGACUGAGAAAAAGGCCCUAAAAGAUAGCGGUUGGUAUCACUUGACAAUAUCAACGACUUGC
Long non-coding RNA from Dunckerocampus dactyliophorus (ringed pipefish), 748 nucleotides. RefSeq lists it as uncharacterized. NCBI's taxonomy places the organism in Eukaryota, Metazoa, Chordata, Actinopteri, Syngnathiformes, Syngnathidae. The transcript has 3 exons. The record is from RefSeq and is a predicted model, not a curated record.